Molecule: non-coding RNA, 111 nt
Organism: Angiostrongylus cantonensis (rat lungworm)
Lineage: Eukaryota; Metazoa; Nematoda; Chromadorea; Rhabditida; Metastrongylidae
Source: Rfam
GUGGGCCGAUUUCAGGUGCCUCGUACGUACCUGGGUAUGGUUGUGGGAUCGCUAUGCGCCCUGAUGGGUGUGUUGACAAUCGCAUUACCAGUUCCGGUGAUCGUCUCCAAC